This 73-nucleotide transfer RNA is filed under the name Bodianus tanyokidus. Its description in RNAcentral is "tRNA-Val". It matches the Rfam family "tRNA". Rfam says of the family: Transfer RNA (tRNA) molecules are approximately 80 nucleotides in length. Their secondary structure includes four short double-helical elements and three loops (D, anti-codon, and T loops). Lineage: Eukaryota; Metazoa; Chordata; Actinopteri; Labriformes; Labridae. The record is from RNAcentral.
CGAAGUAUAGCUAAACAAUGAAUAGCGUCUCCCUUACACUGAGAAGACCUCCGUGCAAACCGGAUUACCUCGA